This 262-nucleotide ribosomal RNA is filed under the name uncultured bacterium. Its description in RNAcentral is "partial 16S ribosomal RNA". It matches the Rfam family "Bacterial small subunit ribosomal RNA", at positions 1229 to 1500 of the family's 1533-position model. The record is from RNAcentral.
UGGGUGGAUACAGAGGGCCGGCCGCUGGCAACAUCGGUCCAAUCCUUAAAGUCAUCCUCAGUUCGGACUGGGGUCUGCAACCCGACCCCACGAAGCUGGAUUCGCUAGUAAUCGCGCAUCAGCCAUGGCGCGGUGAAUACGUUCCCGGGCCUUGUACACACCGCCCGUCAAGCCAUGAAAGCCGGGGGCGCCUGAAGUCCGUGACCGCGAGGGUCGGCCUAGGGUGAAACCGGUGAUUGGGGCUAAGUCGUAACAAGGUAGC